RNAcentral lists this ribosomal RNA (1472 nucleotides) under uncultured bacterium. RNAcentral describes it as "bacterial SSU rRNA". It matches the Rfam family "Bacterial small subunit ribosomal RNA". The record is from RNAcentral.
GACGAACGCUGGCGGCAGGCUUAACACAUGCAAGUCGCACGAGAACGCUUUGGCUUUGCCCAGGCCAGUACCAUGGCCGAACGGUGCCUAUCCCCUAAAUUACCUGCCCUCAAGCCCCGGACUAUCACCGGAAACCCUGGCUAAUACCCCCCCUCCUCCGGAUCCCCCAUGGGAACCAAAAUAAAACCUUCCGGCCCCUUUGGAUGGGUCUGCCUUUGAUUAACUUGUUUGUGAAGUAACCGCUCCCCCAGGCCACCAUUCAUAACUGGUCUGAAAAGAACAUUAACCCCCCUGGGACUGAAACCCCGCCCAAACUCCUACCGGAAGCAACCAUGGGGAAUCCUGCCCAAUGGGGUAACCCCUGAUGCCACCCUGCCCCGUGGAAGAAAAAACCCCUAUGGGGCCUAAACUCCUUUUCUGAACCAAAAAACCCCUGUAAUUUCAAGGCCCCACCGUAAUUCAAGAAUAAACACCGGCUAACUCCCUGCCCACCACCCCCGUAAUACCGAAGGUGCCAGCCUUGUCCUGAAUCACUGGGUGUAAAGGGUGCUCAAGCCGGGCAACCAGUCCGAAGUUAAACCCCAUGGCUCAACCAUGGAAGUGCAUUCCAAACUGUUGCUCUUGAAUCCCCGAAAAGCUGUCCGAAUUCCUGGUGUAACCGUGAAAUGCCUAGAUAUCACCAAGAACACCAGAAGCCAAAGCGGACAGCUGGACGGGUACUGACGUUCAGGCAGGAAAGCGUGGGGAGCAACCAGGAUUGGAUACCUUGGUAGUCCACGCGGUAAACGAUGAAUGUUGGCCGUUGCCUCGUUAGGGGGCAGUGGCUAAGUUAACGCGUUAAGCAAUCCACCUGGGGAGUACGAUCGCAAGGUUGAAACUCAAAGGAAUUGACGGGGGCCCGCACAAGCGGUGGAGCAUGUGGCUCAAUUCGAUGCAACGCGAAGAACCUUACCUAGGCUCGAACGCUAGAGGACCGCUCCUGAAAGGGAGCUUCCCCUUUGGGGCUUCUAGCGAGGUACUGCAUGGCUGUCGUCAGCUCGUGUCGUGAGAUGUUGGGUUAAGUCCCGCAACGAGCGUAACCCCUGUUGCUAGUUACCAUCGGGUAAUGCCGGGGACUCUAGCGAAACUGCCUGCGCAAGCAGUGAGGAAGGUGGGGAUGACGUCAAGUCAUCAUGGUCCUUACGCCUAGGGCUGCACACGUGCUACAAUGGCCGGUACAAUGAGCAGCCACCUCGCGAGAGGGAGCGAAUCUCUGAAAACCGGUCCCAGUUCGGAUUGGAGUCUGCAACUCGACUCCAUGAAGCAGGAAUCGCUAGUAAUCGCGGAUCAGCAAUGCUGCGGUGAAUCCGUUCCCGGGCCUUGUACACACCGCCCGUCAAGCCAUGGAAGCUGAGAGCACCCGAAGUCCGUGACUCAACUCCAGCAUUGCGCUGGAGGGAGAGCGGCCGAAGGUGAGUUCAGUGACUGGGGCU